RNAcentral lists this transfer RNA (76 nucleotides) under Opitutaceae bacterium. Its description in RNAcentral is "tRNA-Thr". It matches the Rfam family "tRNA". Rfam says of the family: Transfer RNA (tRNA) molecules are approximately 80 nucleotides in length. Their secondary structure includes four short double-helical elements and three loops (D, anti-codon, and T loops). The record is from RNAcentral. Lineage: Bacteria; Pseudomonadati; Verrucomicrobiota; Opitutia; Opitutales; Opitutaceae.
GCCCUUGUAGCUCAGUUGGUAGAGCACGUCCUUGGUAAGGACGAGGUCACCGGUUCGAGUCCGGUCGAGGGCUCCA